UUUGUUUGAAAGAUUCGUCGGAUACGGAUAGGCUCGCGAGACAUUAGCUAGUUGGCGGGGUAACGGCCCACCAAGGCGACGAUGUCUAGGGGUUCUGAGAGGAAGGUCCCCCACAUUGGAACUGAGACACGGUCCAAACUCCUACGGGAGGCAGCAGUGAGGAAUAUUGGUCAAUGGCCGGAAGGCUGAACCAGCCAUGCCGCGUGCAGGAAGACGGCCCUAUGGGUUGUAAACUGCUUUUGUGGUGGAGCAAUAAGGGUUACGUGUAGCCCGAUGAGAGUACAUCACGAAUAAGCAUCGGCUAACUCCGUGCCAGCAGCCGCGGUAAUACGGAGGAUGCAAGCGUUAUCCGGAUUUAUUGGGUUUAAAGGGUGCGUAGGCUGUUCGUCAAGUCAGAGGUGAAAUACCACAGCUUAACUGUGGAACUGCCUUUGAUACUGGCGAGCUGGAAUACGGAUGCCGUGGGAGGAAUGAGUAGUGUAGCGGUGAAAUGCAUAGAUAUUACUCAGAACACCGAUUGCGAAGGCAUCUCACGAAUCCGUCAUUGACGCUGAGGCACGAAAGCGUGGGGAUCAAACAG
RNAcentral lists this ribosomal RNA (580 nucleotides) under uncultured rumen bacterium. RNAcentral describes it as "bacterial SSU rRNA". It matches the Rfam family "Bacterial small subunit ribosomal RNA", at positions 195 to 775 of the family's 1533-position model. The record is from RNAcentral.